RNAcentral lists this transfer RNA (69 nucleotides) under Amorphophallus hottae. RNAcentral describes it as "partial tRNA-Leu". RNAcentral also lists the same sequence under 5 other names. The record is from RNAcentral. Lineage: Eukaryota; Viridiplantae; Streptophyta; Magnoliopsida; Alismatales; Araceae.
CCGAAAUCGGUAGACGCUACGGACUUAAAAUCCGUCGACUUUAGAAAUCGUGAGGGUUCAAGUCCCUCU